RNAcentral lists this ribosomal RNA (496 nucleotides) under uncultured bacterium. RNAcentral describes it as "partial 16S ribosomal RNA". It matches the Rfam family "Bacterial small subunit ribosomal RNA", at positions 29 to 507 of the family's 1533-position model. The record is from RNAcentral.
AUGCACGCUGGCGGCGUGCCUAAUCCCUGCAAGUCGAGCGCACAGACGAGGAGCUUGCUCCUCUGACGUUAGCGGCGGACGGGUGAGUAACACGUGGAUAACCUACCUAUAAGACUGGGAUAACUUCGGGAAACCGGAGCUAAUACCGGAUAAUAUAUUGAACCGCAUGGUUCAAUAGUGAAAGACGGUUUUGCUGUCACUUAUAGAUGGAUCCGCGCCGCAUUAGCUAGUUGGUAAGGUAACGGCUUACCAAGGCAACGAUGCGUAGCCGACCUGAGAGGGUGAUCGGCCACACUGGAACUGAGACACGGUCCAGACUCCUACGGGAGGCAGCAGUAGGGAAUCUUCCGCAAUGGGCGAAAGCCUGACGGAGCAACGCCGCGUGAGUGAUGAAGGUCUUCGGAUCGUAAAACUCUGUUAUUAGUGAAGAACAAAUGUGUAAGUAACUAUGCACGUCUUGACGGUACCUAAUCAGAAAGCCACGGCUAACUACGUG